UGGGGAAUAUUGCACAAUGGGCGCAAGCCUGAUGCAGCCAUGCCGCGUGUGUGAAGAAGGCCUUCGGGUUGUAAAGCACUUUCAGCGAGGAGGAAGGGUAGUGUGUUAAUAGCACAUUGCAUUGACGUUACUCGCAGAAGAAGCACCGGCUAACUCCGUGCCAGCAGCCGCGGUAAUACGGAGGGUGCAAGCGUUAAUCGGAAUUACUGGGCGUAAAGCGCACGCAGGCGGUUUGUUAAGUCAGAUGUGAAAUCCCCGCGCUUAACGUGGGAACUGCAUUUGAAACUGGCAAGCUAGAGUCUUGUAGAGGGGGGUAGAAUUCCAGGUGUAGCGGUGAAAUGCGUAGAGAUCUGGAGGAAUACCGGUGGCGAAGGCGGCCCCCUGGACGAAGACUGACGCUCAGGUGCGAAAGCGUGGGGAGCAAACA
This 427-nucleotide ribosomal RNA is filed under the name uncultured bacterium. RNAcentral describes it as "partial 16S ribosomal RNA". It matches the Rfam family "Bacterial small subunit ribosomal RNA", at positions 355 to 774 of the family's 1533-position model. The record is from RNAcentral.